Molecule: ribosomal RNA, 378 nt
Filed under: uncultured eukaryote
Lineage: Eukaryota
Description: partial 18S ribosomal RNA
Rfam family: Eukaryotic small subunit ribosomal RNA
Source: RNAcentral
CAAUAGCGUAUAUUUAAGUUGUUGCAGUUAAAAAGCUCGUAGUUGGAUUUCGGGUGGGACGCAGCGGUCUCGCAUUGCGUUUGUACUGCUGCAGCCCUCCUUCUUGCCGGGGGCGGCCUCUCGGACUUCACUGUCUGGGGGUCAGAAUCGGCGAUGUUACUUUGAGUAAAUUAGAGUGUUCAAAGCAAGCUUACGCUCUGAAUAUAAUAGCAUGGGAUAACACGACAGGACUCUGGCCUAUCGUGUUGGUCUAUAGGACCAGAGUAAUGAUUAAGAGGGACAGUCGGGGGCAUUCGUAUUCCGUUGUCAGAGGUGAAAUUCUUGGAUUUACGGAAGACGAACAUCUGCGAAAACAUUUGCCAAGGAUGUUUUCAUUGA